Molecule: ribosomal RNA, 434 nt
Filed under: uncultured bacterium
Lineage: Bacteria
Description: bacterial SSU rRNA
Rfam family: Bacterial small subunit ribosomal RNA
Source: RNAcentral
GACGAACGCUGGCGGCGUGCCUAACACAUGCAAGUCGAGCGGGAAUCUACAAAAUGAAGCUUCGGCAGAUUUUUGUAGAGGAUAGCGGCGGACGGGUGAGUAACGCGUGAGUAACCUGCCCCUUAAGAGGGGGAUAACACACCGAAAGGUGUGCUAAUACCGCAUAACAUAUGUUUACCGCAUGAUAGACAUAUCAAAGAUUUAUCGCUUAAGGAUGGACUCGCGUCUGAUUAGAUAGUUGGUGAGGUAACGGCUCACCAAGUCGACGAUCAGUAGCCGAACUGAGAGGUUGAUCGGCCACAUUGGGACUGAGACACGGCCCAGACUCCUACGGGAGGCAGCAGUGGGGAAUAUUGCGCAAUGGGGGGAAACCCUGACGCAGCAACGCCGCGUNAAGGAUGAAGGUCUUCGGAUUGUAAACUUCUGUCUUAUGG